RNAcentral lists this long non-coding RNA (244 nucleotides) under Elaeis guineensis (African oil palm). Its description in RNAcentral is "long non-coding RNA (EGUI_LNC002299)". The record is from RNAcentral. Lineage: Eukaryota; Viridiplantae; Streptophyta; Magnoliopsida; Arecales; Arecaceae.
UCCCACUCUUAGCUCUAAUCUUUCUCCAAAGACCAAAAAUAAAUCCAUAGUGCUUCUAAAGUACUUAGGGAUAUUUUGCCCAGCAAUCUAGUGCUCUCAGCUUAGAUUCAAUAAAUAUCUGCUCGUGACUCACACAGUAAGAUAUACGAAAUUGAGUACAUAGCAUGGCAUACACCUAUGCCCUAGAGGAUAAUAGAUCCCUCUUGGAGGUUUCUAUGCUAAACCCUUUCAACACCUCUUCUAU